UACAGAGACUGCAAGCGUUAUUCGGAUUCACUGGGCGUAAAGGGUGCGCAGGCGGCCAGGUGUGUUAGGCGUGAAAGCCCGGGGCUUAACCCCGGAAUUGCACCUAAAACUACUUGGCUAGAGCAUUGGAGAGGGUAGCGGAAUUCACGGUGUAGCAGUGAAAUGCGUAGAUAUCGUGAGGAAUCACAGAGGCGAAGGCGGCUACCUGGACAAUUGCUGACGCUCAGGCACGAAAGCGUGGGGAGCAAACAGG
This 253-nucleotide ribosomal RNA is filed under the name uncultured bacterium. RNAcentral's name for it is "partial 16S ribosomal RNA". It matches the Rfam family "Bacterial small subunit ribosomal RNA", at positions 524 to 776 of the family's 1533-position model. The record is from RNAcentral.